GAGAUCUUCGGAUCUANAUGGCGGACGGGUUAGUAACGCGUGGGAACGUACCCUUCACUACGGAAUAGUCCCGGGAAACUGGGUUUAAUACCGUAUACGCCCUUCGGGGGAAAGAAUUUCGGUGAGGGAUCGGCCCGCGUUAGAUUAGUUAGUUGGUGGGGUAAUGGCCUACCAAGACUACGAUCUAUAGCUGGUUUGAGAGGAUGAUCAGCAACACUGGGACUGAGACACGGCCCAGACUCCUACGGGAGGCAGCAGUGGGGAAUCUUAGACAAUGGGGGCAACCCUGAUCUAGCGAUGCCGCGUGAGUGAUGAAGGCCUUAGGGUCGUAAAGCUCUUUCGCCUGUGAUGAUAAUGACAGUAGCAGGUAAAGAAACCCCGGCUAACUCCGUGCCAGCAGCCGCGGUAAUACGGAGGGGGUUAGCGUUGUUCGGAAUUACUGGGCGUAAAGCGCACGUAGGCGGAUUAGUCAGUCAGAGGUGAAAUCCCAGGGCUCAACCCUGGAACUGCCUUUGAUACUGCUAGUCUUGAGUUCGAGAGAGGUAAGUGGAAUUCCGAGUGUAGAGGUGAAAUUCGUAGAUAUUCGGAGGAACACCAGUGGCGAAGGCGGCUUACUGGCUCGAUACUGACGCUGAGGUGCGAAAGUGUGGGGAGCAAACAGGAUUAG
This 667-nucleotide ribosomal RNA is filed under the name Celeribacter halophilus. RNAcentral describes it as "bacterial SSU rRNA". It matches the Rfam family "Bacterial small subunit ribosomal RNA", at positions 72 to 781 of the family's 1533-position model. The record is from RNAcentral. Lineage: Bacteria; Pseudomonadati; Pseudomonadota; Alphaproteobacteria; Rhodobacterales; Roseobacteraceae.